AUUGAACGCUGGCGGCAUGCUUUACACAUGCAAGUCGAACGGUAACAGGCCGCAAGGUGCUGACGAGUGGCGAACGGGUGAGUAAUGCAUCGGAACGUGCCCAGUCGUGGGGGAUAACUACUCGAAAGAGUAGCUAAUACCGCAUACGAUCUAUGGAUGAAAGCGGGGGACCGUAAGGCCUCGCGCGAUUGGAGCGGCCGAUGUCAGAUUAGGUAGUUGGUGGGGUAAAGGCUCACCAAGCCAACGAUCUGUAGCUGGUCUGAGAGGACGACCAGCCACACUGGGACUGAGACACGGCCCAGACUCCUACGGGAGGCAGCAGUGGGGAAUUUUGGACAAUGGGCGCAAGCCUGAUCCAGCAAUGCCGCGUGCAGGAAGAAGGCCUUCGGGUUGUAAACUGCUUUUGUACGGAACGAAACGGCUCUGGUUAAUACCCGGGGCUAAUGACGGUACCGUAAGAAUAAGCACCGUCUAACUACGUG
This 482-nucleotide ribosomal RNA is filed under the name uncultured bacterium. Its description in RNAcentral is "partial 16S ribosomal RNA". It matches the Rfam family "Bacterial small subunit ribosomal RNA", at positions 30 to 507 of the family's 1533-position model. The record is from RNAcentral.